RNAcentral lists this long non-coding RNA (790 nucleotides) under Panax ginseng (ginseng). Its description in RNAcentral is "long non-coding RNA (PGIN_LNC006158)". The record is from RNAcentral. Lineage: Eukaryota; Viridiplantae; Streptophyta; Magnoliopsida; Apiales; Araliaceae.
AAUCAAUGUCGAGUGGCCUAGUUUGACCACUUUUCACGAUUGAUCUGUUGAUGUUUGUAGACAUAUACAGAUCCCGAUUUGUAGUAUACUAUACAAGCUACACGUAUGAUACAAUAACAUUAACAAAACACAUAAAACCUGAUAGAUAUAGAUAAUGCAAAUAUUGUCAGACGCCACCAAAAGCUUUCUGGGUUUACCCAGAUUAUCCUCGGUCAUGGUCGGUCAACCGACUUUGACCACGAUUAUCUUACAACUUAUGCAUGAUCUGGUUCGACUACAAGUUCUAGAACACAGAUCUCACAUCAUACAACAAAAACACAUAACAACCACAGAUUUACAGCUUCUGACAUUCGAUGUCAGAACACAAAAUGAAAGUUUUCCAGAUUUUUAAAAACAUCAAAUCCGAGCCUCUAGAUGUUAUGGAUCUAACAUCUAGCAACCCAGAUCAUCUCUAGACAACAUAAACAAUAUAUUUUAACACUUAAACACAACAUCUAACAAAAAAUUUUGGACAGAAAUUCAAGGUAGGGUUUAUACCUUAAAUGAACAAUUUCUGAUUUUGUGUUGCUGUUUUGUUGUUGGAUUUCGUGGGGCUGUUCUUAGGGACUGAAAUGCUUAGAUAAUUUCGUUGGUUUGAGAGAAAAUGAGAGUUGGUUAUGUAUUGUAUAAAAUUGGCUAACAAAAUCAUUUCUCUCUCUCUCUCAAUCCUUUAAAUAGACAAAUUGGAUGCAUGUAUGCUGAACUAGAGAGGUUUGCUGGCAAAAUAGGCAUGUGGAGUGGUUAGUGUUUG